GUAACACAUAGUGGAGGACCGAACCAGUUGACGUUGAAAAGUCUUUGGAUGACCUGUGGGUAGGGGUGAAAGGCCAAUCAAACUCGGAAAUAGCUCGUACUCCCCGAAAUGCAUUUAGGUGCAGCGUGUAGAUAGUUUUAUAGAGGUAGAGCUACUGAUUGGAUGCGGGGGCUUCACCGCCUACCAAUUCCUGACAAACUCCGAAUGCUAUAAAACGUUUCUGCGCAGUGAGGGCAUGGGUGCUAAGGUCCAUGUCCGAGAGGGAAAGAACCCAGAUCACCGGCUAAGGUCCCAAAGUAUAUACUAAGUUGAUAUAACGCGGUGGAAUUGCAUUGACAGCCAGGAUGUUGGCUUGGAAGCAGCCAUUCAUUUAAAGAGUGCGUAACAGCUCACUGGUCGAGCGAUUCCGCAUGGAUAAUAAUCGGGCAUAAGUAUAUCACCGAAGCUGUGACUUCUAUUUAUAGAGGGGUAGGGGAGCAUUGUAGUGCCGUUGAAGGUGUACCUGCGAGGGAUGCUGGAGGAGCUACAAACGAAAAUGUAGGCAUAAGUAACGAUAAUGCGGGCGAGAAACCCGCACGCCGAAAGACCAAGGUUUCCCCAGCUAUGCUAAUCAGCUGGGGGUCAGUCGGGACCUAACGCGAACCCGAAAGGGGUAGUGGAUGGACAACAGAUUAAUAUUUCUGUACCUGCUCACGCUAAAAGUGACGGAGGCGAGGAGUUGGUGCGUACAGACGGAAUUGUACGUUGAAGGGAGUGGUAACACCCCGAUAGUACACCGAGACUACGGUCAAGGUGAUAAUCCAGCAUAUCGACUUCCAAGAAAAGCGAGUGAAGCAGCCCGUACCGUAAACCGACACAGGUGGUUGGGAUGAGUAUUCUAAGGCGCUCGAGAGAUUCAUGGCUAAGGAACUAGGCAAAAUAGACCCGUAACUUCGGGAGAAGGGUCGCCCCCUUAUGGGGGGCCGCAGUGAAGAGGUCCAGGCGACUGUUUAUCAAAAACACAGGGCUCUGCAAAAUCGAAAGAUGAAGUAUAGGGCCUGACACCUGCCCGGUGCUGGAAGGUUAAGAGGAGAUGUCAUGACUUCGGUCAGAAGCAUUGAAUUGAAGCCCCAGUAAACGGCGGCCGUAACUAUAACGGUCCUAAGGUAGCGAAAUUCCUUGUCGGGUAAGUUCCGACCUGCACGAAUGGUGCAACGAUCUGGACACUGUCUCGGCCAUGAGCUCGGUGAAAUUGUAGUAUCGGUGAAGAUGCCGGUUACCCGCAGUGGGACGAAAAGACCCCGUGCACCUUUACUAUAGCUUCGUAUUGACCUUGGUCAAGCAAUGUGUAGGAUAGCUGGGAGACUUUGAAGCUGCAUCGCUAGGUGUGGUGGAGUCAUUGUUGAAAUACCAGCCUUUGCUUGUCCGAGGCCUAACUCUCUUCUGAGAGAACAGUGCGUGGUGGGUAGUUUGACUGGGGUGGUCGCUUCCAAAAGAGUAACGGAGGCUUCUAAAGUGGCCCCCAAUA
RNAcentral lists this ribosomal RNA (1507 nucleotides) under marine metagenome. Its description in RNAcentral is "bacterial LSU rRNA". It matches the Rfam family "Bacterial large subunit ribosomal RNA", at positions 756 to 2327 of the family's 2925-position model. The record is from RNAcentral.